RNAcentral lists this ribosomal RNA (557 nucleotides) under uncultured archaeon. RNAcentral's name for it is "bacterial SSU rRNA". It matches the Rfam family "Archaeal small subunit ribosomal RNA", at positions 1 to 549 of the family's 1478-position model. The record is from RNAcentral.
CUCGAGGCCAGAUCUUUCCGGUUGAUCCUGCCGGACCUGACUGCUAUCGGAUUGGUACUAAGCCAUGCGAGUCAUUGUAGCAAUACAAGGCAGACGGCUCAGUAACACGUAGUCAACCUACCCUAUGGACGGGGAUAAUCUCGGGAAACUGAGAAUAAUACCCGAUAGAUCAUUGUGCCUGGAAUGGCUAAUGGUUGAAAUGAUUUAUCGCCGUAGGAUGGGACUGCGGCCUAUCAGUUUGUUGGCGGGGUAAUGGCCCACCAAGACUAUUACAGGUACGGGCUCUGAGAGGAGAGGCCCGGAGAUGGGUACUGAGACACGGACCCAGGCCCUAUGGGGCGCAGCAGGCGAGAAACCUUUGCAAUGUGCGAAAGCACGACAAGGUUAAUCCGAGUGUUUUCUGCUAAAGAAAUCUUUUGUCAGUCCUAAAAACACUGAUGAAUAAGGGGUGGGCAAGUUCUGGUGUCAGCCGCCGCGGUAAAACCAGCACCUCAAGUGGUCAGGAGGUUUAUUGGGCCUAAAGCAUCCGUAGCCGGCUAUGCAAGUUUUCGGUUAAA